Molecule: ribosomal RNA, 484 nt
Filed under: uncultured bacterium
Lineage: Bacteria
Description: partial 16S ribosomal RNA
Rfam family: Bacterial small subunit ribosomal RNA
Source: RNAcentral
AUUGAACGCUGGCGGCAGGCCUAACACAUGCAAGUCGAGCGGAUGAAGGGAGCUUGCUCCUGGAUUCAGCAGCGGACGGGUGAGUAAUGCCUAGGAAUCUGCCUGGUAGUGGGGGAUAACGUCCGGAAACGGGCGCUAAUACCGCAUACGUCCUGAGGGAGAAAGUGGGGGAUCUUCGGACCUCACGCUAUCAGAUGAGCCUAGGUCGGAUUAGCUAGUUGGUGGGGUAACGGCCUACCAAGGCGACGAUCCGUAACUGGUCUGAGAGGAUGAUCAGUCACACUGGAACUGAGACACGGUCCAGACUCCUACGGGAGGCAGCAGUGGGGAAUAUUGGACAAUGGGCGAAAGCCUGAUCCAGCCAUGCCGCGUGUGUGAAGAAGGUCUUCGGAUUGUAAAGCACUUUAAGUUGGGAGGAAGGGCAGUAAGUUAAUACCUUGCUGUUUUGACGUUACCAACAGAAUAAGCACCGGCUAACUUCGUG